GUGGGGAAUAUUGGACAAUGGGCGAAAGCCUGAUCCAGCCAUGCCGCGUGUGUGAAGAAGGUCUUCGGAUUGUAAAGCACUUUAAGUUGGGAGGAAGGGCAGUAAGUUAAUACCUUGCUGUUUUGACGUUACCGACAGAAUAAGCACCGGCUAACUUCGUGCCAGCAGCCGCGGUAAUACGAAGGGUGCAAGCGUUAAGCGGAAUUACUGGGCGUAAAGCGCGCGUAGGUGGUUUUGUAAGGUGGAGGUGAAAUCCCCGGGCUCAACCUGGGAACUGCCUCCAAAACUGCAUGACUAGAGUACGGUAGAGGGUAGUGGAAUUUCCUGUGUAGCGGUGAAAUGCGUAGAUAUAGGAAGGAACACCAGUGGCGAAGGCGACUACCUGGACUGAUACUGACACUGAGGUGCGAAAGCGUGGGGAGCAAACAGGAUUAGAUACCCGUGUAGUCC
This 450-nucleotide ribosomal RNA is filed under the name uncultured bacterium. Its description in RNAcentral is "partial 16S ribosomal RNA". It matches the Rfam family "Bacterial small subunit ribosomal RNA", at positions 354 to 796 of the family's 1533-position model. The record is from RNAcentral.